CUUUGUUUUUAAUGGGGUUCUGGAAUAUAUCUUUAUGAUAAUAUACUGCACAUUUUUUCAUCACAAUGUGGUCAAUAAAUUAUUAUUUUUUUAUAAGGAGGCAUAUAUGUGAUAUUGCAACAUAAAAAUACCCAACAUAUAUUCUAAUCAGGACACAGGCAACAUAUUCUCAGCUUAUAGAGGAAGGGGCAUCAUUUAAAACAGAAAAAAGUUAAUAAAUGGUAUUU
Pelobates cultripes (western spadefoot toad) is the source of this 227-nucleotide non-coding RNA. The record is from the annotation of a GenBank genome assembly. NCBI's taxonomy places the organism in Eukaryota, Metazoa, Chordata, Amphibia, Anura, Pelobatidae.